This 245-nucleotide ribosomal RNA is filed under the name uncultured Planktothrix sp. RNAcentral describes it as "partial 16S ribosomal RNA". It matches the Rfam family "Bacterial small subunit ribosomal RNA", at positions 1140 to 1382 of the family's 1533-position model. The record is from RNAcentral. Lineage: Bacteria; Bacillati; Cyanobacteriota; Cyanophyceae; Oscillatoriales; Microcoleaceae.
CUAGCGAGACUGCCGGUGGACAAAACCGGAGGAAGGUGAGGAUGACGUCAAGUCAGCAUGGCCCUUACGUCCUGGGCGACACACGUACUACAAUGCGAGGGACAGAGAGCAGCCAACCCGCGAGGGAGAGCGAACCUCUUAAACCCUGGCACAGUUCAGAUUGCAGGCUGCAACUCGCCUGCAUGAAGGAGGAAUCGCUAGUAAUCGCAGGUCAGCAUACUGCGGUGAAUCCGUUCCCGGGCCUU